This is a non-coding RNA of Vicia faba (fava bean), 234 nucleotides long. The record is from the annotation of a GenBank genome assembly. NCBI's taxonomy places the organism in Eukaryota, Viridiplantae, Streptophyta, Magnoliopsida, Fabales, Fabaceae.
AUGAGUCGCCGGCUCAUUCUUCAACAGGCACGCGGUCAGAGCCCUCAGCUCCUCCCACUGCUUGGGAGCUUACGGUUUCAUGUUCUAUUUCACUCCCCGCCGGGGGUUCUUUUCACCUUUCCCUCACGGUACUACUUCACUAUCGGUCACCCAGGAGUAUUUAGCCUUGCAAGGUGGUCCUUGCUGAUUCACACGGGAUUUCACGUGCCCCAUGCUACUCGGGUCAGAGCAUAA